CUGUGCUUAUGUAAAUGGAUGAGUGCUAAUCGCUUUGCUAAUGGGAAACACACAGGGAGAUAGGAUCUGCAGCAAAGCGGAAGGGCUUUCAGAAAAUUAGAGCUGGGAAAAACCCCAAAGAAAUCUGGGAAGAUGAUAAGGCAAUGCCCAAGAACUCACAGCAGCGCUGUGGGAGGGUGGGCUCUGGGGCAGAGGGGAGCUCCUGAAGCAUCAGCCAGUCCUGGAGACUCAAGUCCAAGGGAGGCAGGGCUGUGAGUAGUCAUCCAGCUGCCUUGGGCCCAGAGCAGCUUGAAGAGCAGAUUCCAUCUCCUUGAGCCAGGCCCACUUGCUGGGCAGCCUCGCCCAGAAUUCCUGGACAAUUCCUCUUUGCUUUGCCCUAUGCUGGGUUCUGGUAUCACACAGCCACAUCUAAACCCUGCGUCCCAGGAGAAGAGUUCAGCCAGAAUCAAUUACUCUGGAGGAAGCUAGCUGCCAGAUUGUGUGCAGUUCUAUGGAGAGGCCCACAUGGUGAGGAACUAAAGCCCUUGCCCAAUAGCCAGACGGGAAUUCAAGCCUGCUAAUCAUCAG
This 567-nucleotide long non-coding RNA is filed under the name Homo sapiens (human). RNAcentral's name for it is "HSALNT0006449". The record is from RNAcentral. Lineage: Eukaryota; Metazoa; Chordata; Mammalia; Primates; Hominidae.